Molecule: regulatory RNA element, 81 nt
Organism: Paenibacillus sp. MY03
Lineage: Bacteria; Bacillati; Bacillota; Bacilli; Caryophanales; Paenibacillaceae
Rfam family: c-di-GMP-I-GGC riboswitch aptamer
Source: Rfam
CACGAUAAUGGCAAACCUGUCGAAAGGCAGGGACGCAAAGCUAUAGGGCCUUCUAAACAGAUGGCAGCCUGGCCACCGAAA